This 253-nucleotide ribosomal RNA is filed under the name uncultured bacterium. RNAcentral's name for it is "partial 16S ribosomal RNA". It matches the Rfam family "Bacterial small subunit ribosomal RNA", at positions 524 to 776 of the family's 1533-position model. The record is from RNAcentral.
UACAGAGGGGGCAAGCGUUGUUCGGAAUUACUGGGCGUAAAGGGUUCGUAGGUGGCCUACUAAGUCAUACGUGAAAUCCCUCAGCUUAACUGGGGAACUGCGUCUGAGACUGGAAGGCUUGAGUGCAGGAGAGGAACGCGGAAUUCCAGGUGUAGCGGUGAAAUGCGUAGAUAUCAGGAGGAACACCGGUGGCGAAGGCGGGUCUCUGGGCAGUAACUGACGCUGAGGAGCGAAAGCGUGGGGAGCGAACAGG